AAGAAAAUCCGUAGAGAGGAAGAAGACGAACGGAGGAGGGCCGCGCGUCAGGCAAAGAGAGGGCCGCGCAUCGCCGGGAUGGUCGACACGUGUCCUGAGUGUAUUGGCGGAUAAAUUCAACGAAAUACUUCGCGUCGGGCAGGAUUCGAACGCCGGCAGCCCGCUACCCGAGUCCACAACCCGACAACCUCGCGCGACCCGGAAUUCCGACCCAGCUCCUCGUUGCUACGCGUCAGAGUAAAAGAAUUCGGGUUUCCAGCGCGUCCUUCCGGUUUCGAACCGACGACCUCAAUCUCGGAUGACCGUUCAGAACCUCAGCGCGCGUCUUCCUUCCGUCAUGCGCGUCCGUACGCGCGCGUGUAAUACUUUCCCAGACGCGUGUGCGCGCGUGAGGUUCUGUUUUCUGCCGGUUCAACUUCUGUUUUCCCGAAUCUCCUCCCGAUUCCUAACUCUAACCCUACUUUUAUAUGAAAUAGGACUUCAAUAGAAAAAAUCAGUAUUUGUAGACACGCUAUUGGUGUAGAAGCGCUAAACGAAGAACACGCGUCAAUCAAGUACCAGUCGAGGUGGAGGAGAGUUCGAGAGCUGUGCGGUUACAGAGGGGGUCGUUCCAGAGCGUCAGUCCCUCGUCGGUCUUUUAGAGUCUUUUGUAUUUCAUUUUAUAUUUGUAAUUUCUUUUGUAAUAAUUUUGAAAGAAAACUUCUCCCU
Long non-coding RNA from Cucurbita maxima (winter squash), 708 nucleotides. RefSeq lists it as uncharacterized. Lineage: Eukaryota; Viridiplantae; Streptophyta; Magnoliopsida; Cucurbitales; Cucurbitaceae. The record is from RefSeq and is a predicted model, not a curated record. The transcript is spliced from 3 exons.